Molecule: ribosomal RNA, 254 nt
Filed under: uncultured bacterium
Lineage: Bacteria
Description: partial 16S ribosomal RNA
Rfam family: Bacterial small subunit ribosomal RNA
Source: RNAcentral
UACGAAGGGGGCGAGCGUUAUUCGGAAUCACUGGGCGUAAAGCGUGCGUAGGCUGCUUGGAAAGUUGGAAGUGAAAGCCCAGGGCUCAACCCUGGAAUUGCUUUCAAAACUACCAGGCUAGGAUUUGGGGAGAGGAUAGCGGAAUUGUCAGUGUAGCAGUGAAAUGCGUAGAUAUUGACAGGAACACCAGUGGCGCAAGCGGCUAUCUGGACCAACAUCGACGCUGAGGCACGAAAGCGUGGGGAGCAAACAGG